UACGUAGGGGGCGAGCGUUGUCCGGAUUUAUUGGGCGUAAAGAGCUCGUAGGCGGUUUGGCAAGUCGGGUGUGAAAACUCCGGGCUCAACUCGGAGACGCCACUCGAUACUGCCAUGACUCGAGUCCGGUAGGGGAGGGCGGAAUUCCUGGUGUAGCGGUGAAAUGCGCAGAUAUCAGGAGGAACACCGGUGGCGAAGGCGGCACUCUGGGCCGGUACUGACGCUGAGGAGCGAAAGCGUGGGGAGCGAACAGG
RNAcentral lists this ribosomal RNA (254 nucleotides) under uncultured bacterium. Its description in RNAcentral is "partial 16S ribosomal RNA". It matches the Rfam family "Bacterial small subunit ribosomal RNA", at positions 524 to 776 of the family's 1533-position model. The record is from RNAcentral.